UACGUAGGGUGCAAGCGUUGUCCGGAAUUAUUGGGCGUAAAGAGCUCGUAGGCGGUUUGUUGCGUCGGCUGUGAAAUCCCGAGGCUCAACCUCGGGUCUGCAGUCGAUACGAGCAAACUAGAGUGUUGCAGGGGAGACUGGAAUUCCUGGUGUAGCGGUGAAAUUCGUAGAUAUCGGGAGGAACACCAGUGGCGAAGGCGGCGAUCUGGGAAGAUACUGACGCUGAGGUGCGAAAGCGUGGGGAGCAAACAGG
RNAcentral lists this ribosomal RNA (253 nucleotides) under uncultured bacterium. Its description in RNAcentral is "partial 16S ribosomal RNA". It matches the Rfam family "Bacterial small subunit ribosomal RNA", at positions 524 to 776 of the family's 1533-position model. The record is from RNAcentral.